GAUUUUUGAGUGUGAUAAAAGUUUGGAAGUAUUUUUCUUGUAAAUAUGAAUGUAUUUGAUAAAUGUACAUUUUUUCCAUUGUUUGUUUCAUUGGCUUUCAAAGCAAGCAUUAAUCAUCUAUGUUAAGUAUGCUUUGAAUUUCUAAUGGAAAGGGUCUUUCAGCUCUGCAAAUUUUAGUCGUUGGUUCUGUGUAUACACCUUAUUGCUAUUUGUCGGCCAUUACUGGACACCACAAAAGUUCCCCUAAAUUUUAAGGUCAUACUAGAAACUAUUUGAGACCUUAAGUGAAAAGUGAUUGUUGUACGAUGUCAAAAGUUCAAAGAGGGAAUAGCGAUAAGGUGUAUAGUUUUGUAUUAUUAGACUCAUUUGACAAACAAAAAAAAAGAGGAAAUAUCUGUAUUGAUGUAAUUAAACCAGUUCAGUAUUAAAUGUAUGUUAGAAUUUAUUUUACAUCAUUAGAUAUGCAAUACAGCAC
RNAcentral lists this long non-coding RNA (475 nucleotides) under Mytilus galloprovincialis (Mediterranean mussel). The record is from RNAcentral. Lineage: Eukaryota; Metazoa; Mollusca; Bivalvia; Mytilida; Mytilidae.